ACACUAUUAAAAAAAUGAACAUUUGUGAUGGCCAAAAUUCAUUACAAAAAGUAGAAAAAUCAUCACGAAAGGUUUACGUGAUGGCUUAAUGGUUUUGGCAAUCACGCAAACGCUUAUUACUUUUGUGAUGAUUAAUAUAAUCACAUAAACACGUAAUUUAUUGUAAUUGUCAAAGUCAUCACAAAAAAAUAAGACUAGGGAUCAAAGGUAAGAAUGUGAAUCUCUAUUAAAGUAUAAUUUAUUUUACUGUAUUAGUUGUAUCCAAUGAUAUUUGUAUGAUUCGAAUCCUUCCCCAUUUACAAACUAAAUAAUGAGUAUUGCCCCUACACCAAUGCCCAGAUCAUGAUUAAUUAUAAUUUUAAAACAAAAUAUAUAAGAAAACAUAUGUGAGUUGACUUACUAAACAAAAUUACUUCCGUAUAAGAUUUGGUGAUUGCAAUGGCAGUCACAAAUACUCUAUAAUGAUGGUAAAAUUAGUCAUCACUGAAAGUCGUCAUAUAUUUUAUUAUUUUAUGAUGGCUUGAAAAUUCCAUCACAAAAUACCUUCUUUUUGUAAUUGCAAAUAAAAGUCAUCACAAAAAAUAAUCUAUUUUAAUGAUUGUCAUGGCCGUUAUAAAAUAUUAUUUUGAGUAUAUCUUACAUUAAAAUAUUAGUGAUAGCUUAAAUGGAAUCACGAAAAGGGUAUAUUUAUUUUGCGUAAAAAAUUUGGUGUGAUUGACAUGACCAUCACAAUUAUAAUACAUUGAUGGCAAGAUUAGUCAUCACUAAG
This 769-nucleotide long non-coding RNA is filed under the name Panax ginseng (ginseng). RNAcentral's name for it is "long non-coding RNA (PGIN_LNC013751)". The record is from RNAcentral. Lineage: Eukaryota; Viridiplantae; Streptophyta; Magnoliopsida; Apiales; Araliaceae.